Trichosurus vulpecula (common brushtail) is the source of this 638-nucleotide long non-coding RNA. RefSeq lists it as uncharacterized. NCBI's taxonomy places the organism in Eukaryota, Metazoa, Chordata, Mammalia, Diprotodontia, Phalangeridae. The record is from RefSeq and is a predicted model, not a curated record. The transcript is spliced from 3 exons.
AUUUCCCCUCCGGGUCCAUGAUUUAGUCCAGCGCCCUCGGACGGGUCAGGGGGCCUUGACGUCACCCCCCAAGGGCUGGCCAAUCUGCGCCGCGAGCCAGGACUUUUAACAACCGCGGGGAUGACCCCAGGGUCCGGGGAAGCAGAGAAGGGGGAGUCCCAGCGUGGCCAGCUCCGGCCCCAGAGAGCCUCCGCUACAUCCCGGCAGGUCCGACGCUCCGGGCGACACGCAGCAAGGGCUAGCCGAGAGGGAGGAGUCCCCUGAACACACUCGAGAUUUGCUGAAUGAUUUGAAGUCUGGAUGAACCUGGAAAACUGAUAACAGGACCCUCACCACAUUUAUCAAUAUGUCGAUGGCACAGUUUUAUGACAGUGGACAUCAACAGCCCCAAGGAUCACAAUAUCACUGCUUCACAUAGUCUAUUAAAUGCCUAUGUUUGCUGCGAGAGUGCAUCUAUGAAGUUUUAUUGCAUUUAGCUAAACAGAAGACAGUAUUGGUGAUGAGAAGGUCAUGAGAUGCACAAGUCUUCAGUAGUAAGUGACCAUUGCUGUUGCUGUUUCCAACUCCAUUUCUCCCUAGGACUCGCUGCCAAGUCUGAUAGUCUGAGCCUACUCUAACAUUAAAGUCUCCCAGAAUUA